RNAcentral lists this ribosomal RNA (253 nucleotides) under uncultured delta proteobacterium. Its description in RNAcentral is "partial 16S ribosomal RNA". It matches the Rfam family "Bacterial small subunit ribosomal RNA", at positions 524 to 776 of the family's 1533-position model. Lineage: Bacteria; Deltaproteobacteria. The record is from RNAcentral.
UACGGAGGGUGCAAGCGUUGUUCGGAAUUAUUGGGCGUAAAGCGCGCGCAGGCGGGCCACUAAGUCUGAUGUGAAAUCCCUCGGCUCAACCGAGGACGUGCAUUGGAUACUGGUGGCCUUGAGUCCUGGAGAGGGUGGCGGAAUUCCCAGUGUAGAGGUGAAAUUCGUAGAUAUUGGGAGGAACACCAGCGGCGAAGGCGGCCACCUGGACAGUGACUGACGCUGAGGCGCGAAAGCGUGGGUAGCAAACAGG